This 208-nucleotide long non-coding RNA is filed under the name Ananas comosus (pineapple). Its description in RNAcentral is "long non-coding RNA (ACOM_LNC013340)". The record is from RNAcentral. Lineage: Eukaryota; Viridiplantae; Streptophyta; Magnoliopsida; Poales; Bromeliaceae.
UAGUCGGGUUGUGCGGUGUGUGGAUUCACCCGGGAUCAUGGUGCUGGUUGGAGUAUGGAUAGUUCGCAACUGCGGGAAAGGUCGAGGUAUCGAAGUUCUGUAAGGGCGGUGCGCGCAGGGUAGCGGCAUUGCCGUGGCAGUCAGGCUUGCGGUUCAGACUAAGCAGAGAGUGAACUGAGUUCCGUUCAGCGAUCAAUCAUGAGGGUGG